GCUAACCUCGCAAGAGGAGGCAGCCGACCACGGUGGGUCAGCGACUGGGGUG
RNAcentral lists this ribosomal RNA (52 nucleotides) under uncultured bacterium. RNAcentral describes it as "partial 16S ribosomal RNA". The record is from RNAcentral.